Molecule: ribosomal RNA, 492 nt
Filed under: uncultured bacterium
Lineage: Bacteria
Description: partial 16S ribosomal RNA
Rfam family: Bacterial small subunit ribosomal RNA
Source: RNAcentral
AGUGAACGCUGGCGGUAGGCCUAACACAUGCAAGUCGAACGGCAGCACAGUAAGAGCUUGCUCUUACGGGUGGCGAGUGGCGGACGGGUGAGGAAUACAUCGGAAUCUACUUUUUCGUGGGGGAUAACGGAGGGAAAAAUACGCUAAAACCGCAUACGACCUAAGGGUGAAAGCAGGGGAUCUUCGGACCUUGCGCGAUUGAAUGAGCCGAUGUCGGAUUAGCUAGUUGGCGGGGUAAAGGCCCACCAAGGCGACGAUCCGUAGCUGGUCUGAGAGGAUGAUCAGCCACACUGGAACUGAGACACGGUCCAGACUCCUACGGGAGGCAGCAGUGGGGAAUUUUGGACAAUGGGCGCAAGCCUGAUCCAGCCAUGCCGCGUGGGUGAAGAAGGCCUUCGGGUUGUAAAGCCCUUUUGUUCGGGAAGAAAAGCAGCAGGUUAAUACCCCGCUGUUCUGACGGUACCCAAAGAAUAAGCACCGGCUAACUUCGUG